Molecule: transfer RNA, 64 nt
Filed under: Curculionoidea sp. 19 KM-2017
Lineage: Eukaryota; Metazoa; Arthropoda; Insecta; Coleoptera
Description: tRNA-Ala
Source: RNAcentral
AGGAUAAUAGUUUAAUCAAAACUUUUUAAUUGCAUUAAAAAAAUAUUUACAUAAAUUUAUCUUU